This 253-nucleotide ribosomal RNA is filed under the name uncultured bacterium. RNAcentral's name for it is "partial 16S ribosomal RNA". It matches the Rfam family "Bacterial small subunit ribosomal RNA", at positions 524 to 776 of the family's 1533-position model. The record is from RNAcentral.
UACGUAGGGCCCGAGCGUUGUCCGGAUUCAUUGGGCGUAAAGAGCUCGUAGGCGGCUGCUCAAGUCGAAUGUGAAAACUCGAGGCUCAACCUCGAGCCUGCAUUCGAUACUGGGCGGCUAGAGUCUGGUAGGGGGAUCUGGAAUUCCUGGUGUAGCGGUGGAAUGCGCAGAUAUCAGGAGGAACACCGGUGGCGAAGGCGGGAUCCUGGGCCAGUACUGACGCUGAGGUGCGAAAGCGUGGGGAGCAAACAGG